RNAcentral lists this ribosomal RNA (360 nucleotides) under Triticum aestivum (bread wheat). Its description in RNAcentral is "partial small subunit ribosomal RNA". Lineage: Eukaryota; Viridiplantae; Streptophyta; Magnoliopsida; Poales; Poaceae. The record is from RNAcentral.
AGCAUACAUACCACCCCUCAACUAUUUACACCAUGGACAAUGGAGAAACAAGGUAGUGAGGUAUUCACAUAUGAGGUGUUCGAGAAACUUCAGCUACAGAUUAUUGCUGCUAGAGACCAUUGUUUUGUUCAGAGUAUUACACAAGGUGUGGGGGUAAAAAAUGUGACCCUGAGAGGUCGGUCUGGUAAAGUUAGGGAGGUUUGCUAUGACACUACAAGCAUGACAGCAAACUGUUCGUGCAAGUUGUUUGAGUCAGUCGGUUUUCCAUGUCGCCAUAUUAUCCAAGUGUUGAGGAUUGAAAACCAAAAUGAGCUUCCCAGCCACUACAUUAUGAAAAGAUGGCAGAAGAGGUGCAAAAGG